This 350-nucleotide ribosomal RNA is filed under the name Pseudomonas aeruginosa. Its description in RNAcentral is "bacterial SSU rRNA". It matches the Rfam family "Bacterial small subunit ribosomal RNA", at positions 1184 to 1533 of the family's 1533-position model. The record is from RNAcentral. Lineage: Bacteria; Pseudomonadati; Pseudomonadota; Gammaproteobacteria; Pseudomonadales; Pseudomonadaceae.
GUCAAGUCAUCAUGGCCCUUACGACCAGGGCUACACACGUGCUACAAUGGCAUAUACAAAGAGAAGCGACCUCGCGAGAGCAAGCGGACCUCAUAAAGUAUGUCGUAGUCCGGAUUGGAGUCUGCAACUCGACUCCAUGAAGUCGGAAUCGCUAGUAAUCGUAGAUCAGAAUGCUACGGUGAAUACGUUCCCGGGCCUUGUACACACCGCCCGUCACACCAUGGGAGUGGGUUGCAAAAGAAGUAGGUAGCUUAACCUUCGGGAGGGCGCUUACCACUUUGUGAUUCAUGACUGGGGUGAAGUCGUAACAAGGUAACCGUAGGGGAACCUGCGGUUGGAUCACCUCCUUA